CCUACGGGAGGCAGCAGUAGGGAAUCUUCCACAAUGGGCGAAAGCCUGAUGGAGCAACGCCGCGUGGGUGAAGAAGGUCUUCGGAUUGUAAAACCCUGUUGUUAGAGAAGAAAGUGCGUGAGAGUAACUGUUCACGAUUCGACGGUAUCUAACAAGAAAGCCACGGCUAACUACGUGCCAGCAGCCGCGGUAAUACGUAGGUGGCAAGCGUUAUCCGGUUUUAUUGGGCGUAAAGGGAACGCAGGCGGUCUUUUAAGUCUGAUGUGAAAGCCUUCGGCUUAACCGGAGUAGUGCAUUGGAAACUGGGAGACUGGAGUGCAGAAGAGGAGUGUGGAACUCCAUGUGUAGCGGUGAAAUGCGUAGAUAUAUGGAAGAACACCAGUGGCGAAGGCGGCUCUCUGGUCUGUAACUGACGCUGAGGUUCGAAAGCGUGGGUAGCAAACAGGAUUAGAUACCCCUGUAGUC
RNAcentral lists this ribosomal RNA (465 nucleotides) under uncultured bacterium. RNAcentral describes it as "partial 16S ribosomal RNA". It matches the Rfam family "Bacterial small subunit ribosomal RNA", at positions 338 to 795 of the family's 1533-position model. The record is from RNAcentral.